Perca flavescens (yellow perch) is the source of this 809-nucleotide long non-coding RNA. RefSeq lists it as uncharacterized. The transcript has 3 exons. The record is from RefSeq and is a predicted model, not a curated record. Lineage: Eukaryota; Metazoa; Chordata; Actinopteri; Perciformes; Percidae.
ACCAAAGGGAGAAGAUGAGAAAGACAUGCAAAAACAGAGACAAGAGAAAUGAAGAAAUGGUCAGAAAAAAAGGGAGAGCAGGACAAAUUCAGUGAAAGAAAAAAGUAACACAAGACAGAAGUCCACAAACAACAUGUAGCAGCAAGCAGAUCCAUAUAAGAGAUACGCCAAACAAGAUGCAACUCCAGAUGUCUAGACAUCAUUGCUGUGUGAAGACUGCUGAAGAGAAGUUACAAGUAGGACUUUCUUAGAAAAAUAAGGAUGGACAAAAGGGUGGAAACAAGAGAUGUAGAGGGCCCCAUGUCUGUGUUUGCCUUGGGCCCCAAAAUGACUAAAUCCGCCCCUGACUACACUCCUCAGCGGCAGAAUCAACGUCACAGAUGUAGAUUGCAUAGAAACUGAAAACGGAGAAAUGAGAGCUGCAACAAAAUGCGUACCUAGAGAGCAGCGAAUCGUACAAGCGUACUGAAGGGUCAAAAUGCGUGCAGAGUACGCAAAAUUUUAACAGUAAAGGGAGUCGUUUGUUGACGUUAGCGGACUCCAUUUCUUUAUAGUUUAUAUUAGGAGGAUGUGACUCACCAGUGAAUUAAUCUUUUGCUGGUGACAGACCGCAGCGUCCCGCUCUUGCCAUAUGUAAACGCCCCAGCACUAUCGGGAAACUUCACCCCUCCAGGGAGAGCACUCUCACCUGCACACAGAAAACACACCUUAUGUUUUUACUACUAAUGAUUCUUACUCCACUGCAUUCAUCUGACAGCUUUAGUUACUAGUUACUUUACACUAAGAUUUCUGCACACAAAACACAUGUA